CGGAAUGGCUAUCAUAUUGAGACAAUGGAUGAAGAUAAUCUUGAAUAUCUCGUCAUCACAAAGAAUGUCUCCGGCCAAAAGAGGGUUAUUGAUAAAUUCCCGUCUUUAUCUUGUGGCCUGUAUUGGACAAGAAUUAGUGCAAUUGAGGCACAUUCUACCAUAAACCAAAAGGUUACUGAUUCCAAUACUUUCGUACUUUGGCAUGAUCGAUAUCCUGGAUCAAUUAUGAUGAGAUGGAUUAUAGAAAACUCAAAUGGGCAUCCAUCAAAGAAUUUAAAGAUUCUCUUAAAUAAUGAAUUUUCUUGCACUUCUUGUUAUCAAGGCAAGUUAAUUAUUAGACCAUCACCAACAAAGGUUGGAACUGAGUCACCUACGUUUNNNNNNNNNNNNNNNNNNNNNNNNNNNUACUUUGGCAUGAUCGAUUGGGACAUCCUGGAUCAAUUAUGAUGAGACGGAUUAUAGAAAACUCAUAUGGGCAUCCAUUAAAGAAUUUAAAGAUUCUCUUAAAUAAUGAAUUUUCUUGCACUUCUUGUUAUCAAGGCAAGUUAAUUAUUAG
RNAcentral lists this long non-coding RNA (556 nucleotides) under Nicotiana benthamiana. RNAcentral's name for it is "long non-coding RNA (NBEN_LNC008401)". Lineage: Eukaryota; Viridiplantae; Streptophyta; Magnoliopsida; Solanales; Solanaceae. The record is from RNAcentral.